GGUUUUGUGGUGUAGUGGUAAUCACAUCUGCCUACUUUGCAGAAGGUCCUGGGUUCGAUCCCCAGCAGAACCA
Non-coding RNA from Protopterus annectens (West African lungfish), 73 nucleotides. The record is from the annotation of a RefSeq genome assembly. Lineage: Eukaryota; Metazoa; Chordata; Ceratodontiformes; Protopteridae.